This 1673-nucleotide long non-coding RNA is filed under the name Sus scrofa (pig). RNAcentral describes it as "lncRNA (ENSSSCG00015065466.1)". The record is from RNAcentral. Lineage: Eukaryota; Metazoa; Chordata; Mammalia; Artiodactyla; Suidae.
CCCCAGAGCAGGUAUGACAUGUUCCUAACACAAAGCUGGGGGAGGAAGUGGUUUGAAUCCCACAUCUUGAUUUACCAAGCGGGGUAGUCACUCUUCGAAGUUUCUUCCUCAGCUUGGGGCCAGCCCAGACUGCAUGUGGUUUCCUCUCACUGUGUGUGCCUGCAUGUGUGUGUGUGUGUGUGUGUGUGUGUGUGUGUGUGUGUGUACAAAUGUGCAUGUGUGUUAGUUAUUUGCCUUUUACUGGCUCCGGGGUUUCUGUCCACCAGAGGAGCCCAGGGCUCUCUCUCAGACCUGCCCAACCUGCCGAGAAGUUCUGGGACCCAGCUGGAUGCCAGUGGACACCCCCGAAUAACACUGGUGAUCAGAAGCCAGACUCUUGGAGAAGAGAUGGAAGCCCCGCUGGCAGGUGUGCUGGGAGCCAGGUGAUUCCCCACAGGGCUCUCUUAUCAGAGAGGCCAUCCUGGGCAGCAACCCUGAAGAAGGACCCACCCUCUGGGGGCUCACACACAUCUGCUCCCAACCCGUGGUCUCCUCACAGAAGUUUCAUCACCUUGGGACGCCUCAGGACACCUCAGGAACCAGAAUCCCUGCUCUGCAACUGGGCAGGGUGCUCCCAGCUCAGGGAGGACUCUGGUAGGACUUGGCACCAGAGCCCAGCUAUAGGUAGUCCUUGUUGUGAGAUGGCCAUCAGCAACAAUAGAAGGUUGAAGUGGAGGCACAAACCCAUCCGAGGUCACAGGCAGUGCUGUGGACCUGACCUGGAUGGGUCUGAGGACUGCCCUGGAGAGCAAAUGUGGGAUGGAGAAGUGAACGGAUGGGAUUAGCCCAGGGAGGGCUCAGGCCUGGGCAAUUUGCCUCUGAUCUGCCAGUCUCCACCUGGGUUUAGAAGGUGGCAUGGUGAUCUGUUUGGAUGGAUUUAGACUUUAUCUCAAGUUCCCUCCAUUUUGAAGCAUCUUCUCUCUCCCUGCAAGAAAAUAGCCAACUGAGGAUGUACCUGGGCCUGAGCUCCAGACUGCAGCACCAGAGUGGGCUCCAGGGCCCCUUUCCUGCACUCACCCCUCGUCCAUCAGCCCCUGCUCACACAGACACCCAUUCCUGGGUUAUCCCCUGCCCAAGCCACUGCAUCCAGCUGCUAGGGAUUCAGAGAUGAGAUGACACUCUUCUCUGAAGAUCUGCACGGCCAUGUGGCAGUACAGCAGGGCCGGCUGGCAGCCCUGGCAUGGGAGGCCUAGGCAGGGAUGGGACUGCAGCGGCCCACGUUAGAACCACUUUCCAGGUGCAGGCUGGAGGACCAUGUCAGGCACCUGGAUGAGCCAGUCACAUGUAGGGCUGAGAGGAUGGGCUGGCUGGGAGAGGUGGCCCCAUUGGCAGGAUCUGGUCCCAGACCUGGAUUGCCCUAUGGAUAAAAGCCAUCUCCAGAGUCUACAGAGGCAGAGAGCAGUCAGUGAGCUGCCCAGGGCUUUCACCAGCCUUAUUUUAGAAAAUCCUCAGAACACCUAGCAAUGGAGGGGCUGCUCACAAUCCCCUGCUUUACUGGUGUGUGACCUGCCCAGGGUCCCAUGGCCCAAAGGUAUGGGGGGCUGGGACUCACAAACACGGUGCUGCUGGUUCCAAAACCAAGGUCUUCCCAGGAUCCUAGAACUAUAAAUAAAGGGUCUAACCUGUGUGUGCCA